Misgurnus anguillicaudatus (oriental weatherfish) is the source of this 473-nucleotide non-coding RNA. The record is from RefSeq and is a predicted model, not a curated record. NCBI's taxonomy places the organism in Eukaryota, Metazoa, Chordata, Actinopteri, Cypriniformes, Cobitidae.
AGCAACUUUUCGUGCAGGCUUUAGAUAGGCCUACACUACAUUUAAAAUAAUAAUAAUAAUUUAACGCUUAAAACAGAUCUGAGAGACACUUUUAAAAGCAACGGACUUUUCCUGAGAAAACUUCACACAAGGCUUUUACAAGAAGACCAGAGGGAUACUAUCAGUGAAAGCCACUCAGUGUUCUGUUAUUAAUCUCCUACCGCCGUUGGCCCUUUCAUAAAAGGUGUUCUUCUGGGUUGACAACUCGGCCCUUGUUUAGGAAAGAGAGAACGAAUCAGAAGGUUUUCAUCUGAUAAUGCUGGAAUGAACAAAAUCAAAUGGGAACCCAUGCAAAAAAAAAAAAGUAAUCAGGUCUAGUGAUAUUCUAGAGAUUUUAUUAAACAAGUAGUUAUCAGAUAUAUAAACAAUCAUAAUUGCUCACCUCAUUUUACAAGAGUCUGCUAUCUUGAACAGACGUGCCUGGAAUUUUAUGA